GACGAACGCUGGCGGCGUGCCUAACACAUGCAAGUCGAGCGCUCGCAAGAGCGCGGCGAACGGGUGAGUAACGCGUAGGAAUCUGCCUCGAACAGGGAAAUACCCCCGCGAAAGCGGGGCUAAUGUCCCAUAAUCCCGCAAGGGAAAAGGUGCAAACCGGUUUGAGAGGAGCCUGCGUCCUAUCAGCUUGUUGGUGGGGUAAAAGCCUACCAAGGCGACGACGGGUAGCUGAUCUGAGAGGAUGAUCAGCCACAAUGGGACUGAGACACGGCCCAUACAUCUACGGAUGGCAGCAGUUGGGAAUAUUGCGCAAUGGGCGAAAGCUUGACGCAGCGACGCCGCGUGAAUGAUGAAGGUCUUAGGAUUGUAAAAUUCUUUUACCAGGGACGAUAAUGACGGUACCUGGAGAAAAAGCCCCGGCUAACUUCGUGCCAGCCGCCGCAGUAA
Molecule: ribosomal RNA, 447 nt
Filed under: uncultured bacterium
Lineage: Bacteria
Description: partial 16S ribosomal RNA
Rfam family: Bacterial small subunit ribosomal RNA
Source: RNAcentral